Molecule: ribosomal RNA, 498 nt
Filed under: uncultured bacterium
Lineage: Bacteria
Description: partial 16S ribosomal RNA
Rfam family: Bacterial small subunit ribosomal RNA
Source: RNAcentral
AUUGAACGCUGGCGGCAUGCUUUACACAUGCAAGUCGAACGGUAACAGGUCUUCGGAUGCUGACGAGUGGCGAACGGGUGAGUAAUGCAUCGGAACGUGCCCAGUCGUGGGGGAUAACGCAGCGAAAGCUGUGCUAAUACCGCAUACGAUCUAUGGAUGAAAGCGGGGGACCGUAAGGCCUCGCGCGAUUGGAGCGGCCGAUGUCAGAUUAGGUAGUUGGUGGGGUAAAGGCCCACCAAGCCAACGAUCUGUAGCUGGUCUGAGAGGACGACCAGCCACACUGGGACUGAGACACGGCCCAGGCUCCUACGGGAGGCAGCAGUGGGGAAUUUUGGACAAUGGGCGCAAGCCUGAUCCAGCAAUGCCGCGUGCAGGAAGAAGGCCUUCGGGUUGUAAACUGCUUUUGUACGGAACGAAACGGUCUGGGUUAAUACCCUGGGCUAAUGACGGUACCGUAAGAAUAAGCACCGGCUAACAACGUGCCAGCCGCCGCCGUAA